AUGCACAGUGCGGUGGUGCGGCGGCCUCAAAAGGUGGGGCACCGACACCUGCAGCUUGUGCACGCAUCUCCUGCAUCCCGCAACCUUCUCCUUCCCGGCACAGCAGGAGCAGGAGCAAGGAUGCCGAGGCGGUUCAGGUUGUACACUGUUGAACUGAGAAAGUGUCUCAUUGGGGUGUGGAGUGGGAGAGGAGUGGUAUUUUAUCUAUUCAGUUUCAAGUCAGAUGGAAAAUUUUGUUUCCCUUGGUUAGUAUAUUGCAAGACAGAGCAAAACUUGAUUGUGUAUAUAUUCUGUUUUUAA
RNAcentral lists this ribosomal RNA (300 nucleotides) under Triticum aestivum (bread wheat). Its description in RNAcentral is "partial small subunit ribosomal RNA". Lineage: Eukaryota; Viridiplantae; Streptophyta; Magnoliopsida; Poales; Poaceae. The record is from RNAcentral.